Vicugna pacos (alpaca) is the source of this 225-nucleotide non-coding RNA. Lineage: Eukaryota; Metazoa; Chordata; Mammalia; Artiodactyla; Camelidae. The record is from RefSeq and is a predicted model, not a curated record.
UUUUUUGUUAUUAUUUUGUUUUAUUUAGGGGAAAAUGGCUCUACUGGCCUCAAAUAGCUGCUUUAUUAGAUGCAAUGAAGCAGGUGAUACAGAAGCAAAAAGUAAAACAGCAGGAGAAGAAGAAAUGAUAAAGAUUAGAUCCUGUGCUGAAAGAGAGACUAAGAAAAAAGAUGAUAUUCCAGAAGAAGACAAAGGAAAUGUUAAGCAGUGUGAAAUCAAUUAUGU